This 497-nucleotide ribosomal RNA is filed under the name uncultured bacterium. Its description in RNAcentral is "partial 16S ribosomal RNA". It matches the Rfam family "Bacterial small subunit ribosomal RNA", at positions 28 to 507 of the family's 1533-position model. The record is from RNAcentral.
GAUGAACGCUGGCGGCGUGCCUAAUACAUGCCAGUCGAGCGAACAGACGAGGAGCUUGCUCCUCUGACGUUAGCGGCGGACGGGUGAGUAACACGUGGAUAACCUACCUAUAAGACUGGGAUAACUUCGGGAAACCGGAGCUAAUACCGGAUAAUAUAUUGAACCGCAUGGUUCAAUAGUGAAAGACGGUUUUGCUGUCACUUAUAGAUGGAUCCGCGCCGCAUUAGCUAGUUGGUAAGGUAACGGCUUACCAAGGCAACGAUGCGUAGCCGACCUGAGAGGGUGGUCGGCCACCCUGGAACUGAGACACGGUCCAGACUCCUGCGGGAGGCACCAGUAGGGAAUCUUCCGCAAUGGGCGAAAGCCUGACGGAGCAACGCCGAGUGAGUGAUGAAGGUCUUCGGAUCGUAAAACUCUGUUAUUAGGGAAGAACCAAUGUGUAAGUAACUAUGCACGUCUUGACGGUACCUAAUCAGAAAGCCACGGCUAACUACGUG